RNAcentral lists this ribosomal RNA (465 nucleotides) under uncultured bacterium. Its description in RNAcentral is "partial 16S ribosomal RNA". It matches the Rfam family "Bacterial small subunit ribosomal RNA", at positions 28 to 507 of the family's 1533-position model. The record is from RNAcentral.
GACGAACGCUGGCGGCGUGCUUAACACAUGCAAGUCGAACGGAAAGGCCCCUUUGGGGGUUCUCGCGUGGCGAACGGGUGAGUAACACGUGAGUAACCUGCCCUUGCCUUCGGGAUAACUUCAGGAAACUGAGGCCAAUACCGGAUCGGAAUCCUUGCUGCAUGGUGGGGGUUGGAAAGCUUCGGCGGGUUUGGAUGGACUCGCGGCUUAUCAGCUUGCUGGUGGGGGAGUGGCUUACCAAGGCUUUGUCGGGUAGCCGGCCUGGGUGGGCGACCGGCCACAUUGGGACUGAGGUACGGCCCAGACACCUACGGGAGGGAGCAGGGGGGAAUAUUGCACAAUGGGCGGAAGCCUGGUGCAGCAACGCCGCGGGCGGGAUGACGGCCUUCGGGUUGUAAACCGCAUUCAGCAGGGGCGGAGCUUGUGGUGACGGUACCUGCAGAAGAAGCACCGGCUAACUACGUG